UGGGGAAUAUUGCGCAAUGGGGGAAACCCUGACGCAGCAACGCCGCGUGGAGGAUGAAGGUUUUCGGAUUGUAAACUCCUUUGAUCGGGGACGAAAAAAUGACGGUACCCGAAAAACAAGCCACGGCUAACUACGUGCCAGCAGCCGCGGUAAUACGUAGGUGGCGAGCGUUGUCCGGAAUUACUGGGUGUAAAGGGCGUGUAGGCGGGAUUUUAAGUCAGAUGUGAAAUUCUGGGGCUCAACCUCAGAGCUGCAUCUGAAACUGAAGUUCUUGAGUGCUGGAGAGGAUAGUGGAAUUCCUAGUGUAGCGGUGAAAUGCGUAGAUAUUAGGAGGAACACCAGUGGCGAAGGCGGCUAUCUGGACAGUAACUGACGCUGAGGCGCGAAAGCGUGGGGAGCAAACAGG
RNAcentral lists this ribosomal RNA (406 nucleotides) under uncultured bacterium. Its description in RNAcentral is "bacterial SSU rRNA". It matches the Rfam family "Bacterial small subunit ribosomal RNA", at positions 355 to 776 of the family's 1533-position model. The record is from RNAcentral.